RNAcentral lists this ribosomal RNA (274 nucleotides) under uncultured bacterium. RNAcentral's name for it is "partial 16S ribosomal RNA". It matches the Rfam family "Bacterial small subunit ribosomal RNA", at positions 523 to 796 of the family's 1533-position model. The record is from RNAcentral.
AUACGGAGGGUGCAAGCGUUAUCCGGAUUUACUGGGUUUAAAGGGUACGCAGGCGGUAAUUUAAGUCAGUGGUGAAAGCCUACAGCUCAACUGUAGAACUGCCAUUGAAACUGAGUUACUUGAGUAUGGUAGAGGUAGGCGGAAUACAACAUGUAGCGGUGAAAUGCAUAGAUAUGAUGUAGAACACCGAUUGCGAAGGCAGCUUACUAAACCAUUACUGACGCUCAUGUACGAAAGCGUGGGGAGCGAACAGGAUUAGAAACCCUAGUAGUCC